AAAGAAUCCCAAUGACUGCAACCAGAAAUUACAUAGUUAUCUGAGAAGCCUGAAACAAUGCUAUGGCUGUUCUCUCAGACGGCCAUCUUUUUCCCUAGAAGCCGGCCAACAUCUGAGAAAGAGAAACGUGACGUCCACCCGGAUUCCACCUGGAUUCGAACAUCCCAUGCUUAUCUCAAGACACUCUGGUUUUCUCUUCUGGAGUGGAAACACUUGUCUCUUCUCCUUCCUUCAUAAUCUCCUGGUGUGGUUUUAUCAUGGAGCUCCUUUAUUGAUAAAGAUGCCAUGACACCAACGCCUUAUUCUAAA
Long non-coding RNA from Mastomys coucha (southern multimammate mouse), 309 nucleotides. RefSeq lists it as uncharacterized. The record is from RefSeq and is a predicted model, not a curated record. NCBI's taxonomy places the organism in Eukaryota, Metazoa, Chordata, Mammalia, Rodentia, Muridae. The transcript is spliced from 2 exons.